UACUUGUAUAUUUCUGAAUAAUAUUCAAUUUGUAUGUUUGCUUCAUGAAGAUAUACAAUUAUUUAUCCUUGAAACUAGCAGGAAAUUUAGAGUUAUAUCUAGAGUUAUAUCUAUAGAUUGCAAUGAUUCCCUAUUCCUAACUAUAUAUUUUGAUUUUCUAACAACAACAUAUACAUUUGAAGCAGCUUUCUUAAAAGAUUCCCUCUCUCUCUGGUGCUGCAAAGUUAGGGUUUCUUAUGACCAGCAUUUCACAGUGGGAAUUGUAGUGGUGUGGGUCAAUAGAAUCUUUUGAUCAAAGAAACAAUAGUGGAGUAUUUGGUUCUUCAGCAUAUACACUAUCACAAAGUAUUGGUAGAGUUUAAGACUCCCAAAAAAGAAAUGCUUUGACAUUAUUGAUACGGAAGAGGAUGAUAUCUAUCAAGCUUGGAGGUUUAGGGCUGCCAAGCGCUUGAGAGGUAUGCUCCAUGCCAUUCGCAAAAAAGGUGCCCGUCCAUAUUGGAUCCCACUAGAAGUUCUUGGUGAAUUGAUGAGACGUUGGAACACUGAUGCCUAUAGACAAUUACAGGCGAGAAAUACAGCUGCCAGGAAAUCGACUCGAGGUACUUCUCUUCACACUGCAGGAGGCACCACCUUUCCAGAAGCGAGGUUACGCUUAGUAAGUUGCUUAUA
This is a non-coding RNA of Arachis ipaensis, 669 nucleotides long. The record is from RefSeq and is a predicted model, not a curated record. Lineage: Eukaryota; Viridiplantae; Streptophyta; Magnoliopsida; Fabales; Fabaceae.